GUGGGGAAUUUUGGACAAUGGGCGCAAGCCUGAUCCAGCAAUGCCGCGUGCAGGAAGAAGGCCUUCGGGUUGUAAACUGCUUUUGUACGGAACGAAACGGUCCGGGUUAAUACCCUGGGCUAAUGACGGUACCGUAAGAAUAAGCACCGGCUAACUACGUGCCAGCAGCCGCGGUAAUACGUAGGGUGCAAGCGUUAAUCGGAAUUACUGGGCGUAAAGCGUGCGCAGGCGGUUUUGUAAGACAGGCGUGAAAUCCCCGGGCUCAACCUGGGAAUUGCGCUUGUGACUGCAAGGCUGGAGUGCGGCAGAGGGGGAUGGAAUUCCGCGUGUAGCAGUGAAAUGCGUAGAUAUGCGGAGGAACACCGAUGGCGAAGGCAAUCCCCUGGGCCUGCACUGACGCUCAUGCACGAAAGCAUGGGGAGCAAACAGGAUUAGAAACCCGGGUAGUCC
RNAcentral lists this ribosomal RNA (450 nucleotides) under uncultured bacterium. RNAcentral's name for it is "bacterial SSU rRNA". It matches the Rfam family "Bacterial small subunit ribosomal RNA", at positions 354 to 796 of the family's 1533-position model. The record is from RNAcentral.